RNAcentral lists this transfer RNA (87 nucleotides) under Burkholderiales bacterium. RNAcentral's name for it is "tRNA-Leu". It matches the Rfam family "tRNA". Rfam says of the family: Transfer RNA (tRNA) molecules are approximately 80 nucleotides in length. Their secondary structure includes four short double-helical elements and three loops (D, anti-codon, and T loops). Further hydrogen bonds mediate the characteristic L-shaped molecular structure. tRNAs have two regions of fundamental functional importance: the anti-codon, which is responsible for specific mRNA codon recognition, and the 3' end, to which the tRNAs corresponding amino acid is attached (by aminoacyl-tRNA synthetases). tRNAs cope with the degeneracy of the genetic code in two manners: having more than one tRNA (with a specific anti-codon) for a particular amino acid; and 'wobble' base-pairing, i.e. permitting non-standard base-pairing at the 3rd anti-codon position. The record is from RNAcentral. Lineage: Bacteria; Pseudomonadati; Pseudomonadota; Betaproteobacteria; Burkholderiales.
GCCGGGAUGGCGGAACUGGUAGACGCACCAGACUCAAAAUCUGGCGCCUGCAAGGGCGUGCCGGUUCGAUUCCGGCUCUCGGUACCA